AUUGAACGCUGGCGGCAUGCUUUACACAUGCAAGUCGAACGGCAGCGCGGGGCAACCUGGCGGCGAGUGGCGAACGGGUGAGUAAUAUAUCGGAACGUACCCAGAAGUGGGGGAUAACGUAGCGAAAGUUACGCUAAUACCGCAUACGAUCUACGGAUGAAAGUAGGGGACCGCAAGGCCUUAUGCUUUUGGAGCGGCCGAUAUCUGAUUAGCUAGUUGGUGAGGUAAAGGCUCACCAAGGCGACGAUCAGUAGCUGGUCUGAGAGGACGACCAGCCACACUGGAACUGAGACACGGUCCAGACUCCUAUGGGAGGCAGCAGUGGGGAAUUUUGGACAAUGGGCGCAAGCCUGAUCCAGCAAUGCCGCGUGAGUGAAGAAGGCCUUCGGGUUGUAAAGCUCUUUUGUCAGGGAAGAAACGGUAGAGGCUAAUAUCCUUUGCUAAUGACGGUACCUGAAGAAUAAGCACCGGCUAACUACGUG
Molecule: ribosomal RNA, 482 nt
Filed under: uncultured bacterium
Lineage: Bacteria
Description: partial 16S ribosomal RNA
Rfam family: Bacterial small subunit ribosomal RNA
Source: RNAcentral